GUGAGGUCGGUGGUUCAAGUCCACUCAGGCCUACC
RNAcentral lists this transfer RNA (35 nucleotides) under Salmonella sp. RNAcentral's name for it is "partial tRNA-Ile". The record is from RNAcentral. Lineage: Bacteria; Pseudomonadati; Pseudomonadota; Gammaproteobacteria; Enterobacterales; Enterobacteriaceae.